UUUUACUUAUUUCAGUAAACAGACCGAAUCUUGUGAAAACACUUCGACUAGGUUACAGAAAACUUUUAUUUUUUCAAAACUAGUCUUAAGCAAAAAGUGAUUGUCCGUUUGCAAAAUGUAAGAUUUGUUACGUUGAUUUACAGAAUGGAUAAAUUAAAUAACUCUAUGGUAAGCUGGGAGCUGAACUAACACACCGUUACACUUUUUUAUAGCAAGUACUUGUGUGUGUGUGCCCACAGUACUGCAUGGCCGAAUCAAAUACUUCUUGGAUAUAACACUACAAAACGAACAUGAUUGUAAAAUUCUGUGUGAAAUGUUUGGCUGGUAUCAAAAACGUCAGAAUCAAAGAAACAUUUGGCGUUUUUAAAUUAAUAAAGUGCAUCUUUGGCUGAA
Drosophila ficusphila is the source of this 393-nucleotide long non-coding RNA. RefSeq lists it as uncharacterized. The transcript has 2 exons. The record is from RefSeq and is a predicted model, not a curated record. Lineage: Eukaryota; Metazoa; Arthropoda; Insecta; Diptera; Drosophilidae.